Molecule: ribosomal RNA, 253 nt
Filed under: uncultured bacterium
Lineage: Bacteria
Description: partial 16S ribosomal RNA
Rfam family: Bacterial small subunit ribosomal RNA
Source: RNAcentral
UACGUAGGGUGCGAGCGUUACUCGGAAUUACUGGGCGUAAAGCGUGCGCAGGUGGUCUUGUAAGCCAGAUGUGAAAUCCCCGGGCUUAACCUGGGAACUGCGUUUGGGACUGCAAGGCUGGAGUACGGCAGAGGGAGGUGGAAUUCCACGUGUAGCAGUGAAAUGCGUAGAGAUGUGGAGGAACACCGAUGGCGAAGGCAGCCUCCUGGGCUAGUACUGACGCUCAUGCACGAAAGCGUGGGGAGCAAACAGG